GGCCCCAUGGUCUAGCGGUUAGGAUACCACUCUUUCAAGGUGGGGGUACGGGUUCGACUCCCGUUGGGGCUACCA
Molecule: transfer RNA, 75 nt
Filed under: Pseudomonadota bacterium
Lineage: Bacteria; Pseudomonadati; Pseudomonadota
Also listed under: 1 other name
Description: tRNA-Glu
Rfam family: tRNA
About the family: Transfer RNA (tRNA) molecules are approximately 80 nucleotides in length.
Source: RNAcentral